GAUGGAAUACAAUGUUGCCUAAUUUACUGUUCCGUUCCGUCACAAAUCGUCUGUCAUUCAAGUCAUUUUGUCAAAAACAAAUUUGUUUGGUUUUGUUUUCAAAAUUGUUGUGAAGUUCUAUUUUCUACUUGGUUCUAUUUUUUAGUCAUGAAGUAGUAUCGUGGGAUAUUUGAAGUUCUUGGGUACUGAAAAUUCAAGAAGUUUUAGAAGGAAAACUAGUUUUAAACUCUGGUCAUCUUAUUUUGGCUGGAAAAAUAGAGGAAAGUUCUGAGCAUACCAUCAAAAUAUAUGGUUUAUUCCUUCAGUAAGGUCCAAUCCCCACGAAAUUAAAGGAACCCUACCUUUCACAAAUGGCAUGAGCAUUAGCUAAAUGUUAUGUUGUUGUAAAGCAGAAAAUAGUGGAAAAUGUAAACAUGUCUCUACUCUUGUUAAAUGUAAAUAUAAGGGAAGAUGUGAAAUUAAUGGAACAUUCAGUACAUGAGUUGAAAAAAAUGUUAACAGAUUGGCAAAUGAAGACCAUUUUUAAUUGAUCUAAACAUUUAUAGAAACAAAGUAUAUGGUUAAUAUAAAAUAUUACCUGUCUGAAGUAACUUGGUGUACAAAUCAAUAGUAACCAUAAUUUUUAUUCCCAGGGCCAGUGAGAAACAAUGUGCAUUUCAUUUCUAAGUGUUCUAAGGAAAGAUCUCAUAAGAAUAAAUAGAUCUGUACAAUGAAGAUUAACCUAAUGUGUUUAACCAUCGAAAUUAUUGUAUUGUUAUAAAAAUAAUAAAUCUCCAUUUCAUAUUAUUUACACUUACAUACAUUAGCCUGAAAUUUCAUUGUGUCUAUAUUAGUGGCCAUAGUCACAAACCUACCCUAGUCUACGGAGGUACUGUCUUUCGCAGAUGUGGUAAUACCGGAUUUGAUACAUUAUUGCUAAAUAAAGUUUGUGAAUAGUCACUUUUCACAAAAUAGACAGUUUUAAUAGUUUUCACUGUACUUACUCACUAAUACUUAGAAUCUUUUUUACAUUCAGUGGUAAUAACAUAUUAUAUUUUGUUUUGGUAUUUAAAUUUACCUAAAUAUUUAUAGAAAUAUACUAUAGUAAAUUCAAGAUGCAGUAGAAAUAAACAAACCAAGACACGUUAAAUGCUAAUACUAUGAGCACUCCCGAAUCAUAAUUUACAAUGUAUAUACAUUGUAAAUCCAAAAUCAUGAUUUCCAAAGUUUAUACAUUGUAAAUUAUGAUUCGGGAGUGCUCCUAAUAGUAGCAUUUAACUUGUCUUGAUUUGUUUAUUUCUACUGCAUCUUAAUUUUAAAUUUAGUGUAGAUGUGGCCAUCAUAGGACUCUUACUUAUAGAUGCAAUAAAAUUAUUGGUUUAUUUUCAUUUUAAAUGUUAUACUUCCAGUAUUGUAUGUAGUACCCAGUAUUAAAGCAUAUAUUUUUAAAUAAAAAUAUAAAUAUCAUAUUUUUAUAAUGAACAACAUUAAAUUUACUUCUUGUGGGAGUAAAAAAAAGUUAUAGUAAAUAUUUUUAUCUCUUAGCUUUUGAUGAUAUUUGCCAUAUGUUUUUGUAAGACAUGUUUAACGAGUAGUCUAAGGGCAUAUUAUUAUACAUUGUUAUACAAAAUAGACAUAAAAUUUUGAAACUUUCAGCUUCACUUUUUCAUUGUUUCAAUAUUAAAUCCCAAAUUUAGACUCUCCACCAUUUUCUCAUAAAAAAGUAUGUUCAGUUUUUACCCCAGGUAGACUGAAACCACCAAAAAAUUGAUGUUACUUAAGUUUAUAAGAAGUAUUAAAAAAAUCCGUUUCAUCAGAUACACAAAAUAAAUGCAACUGAUUAUGUUCAGAUAGUGGUGUCCCUCUUAAUUUUUAUUCCUAAAAACUUUAACUAUUAAACCAAAGUUUUAGUUAAAAAAAAACAAAAUGUUUGCUUUCUGUGUGGAGUUACAAAAAUAAGUUGAAAUGCUAUUUAAUUUCGUAUUAUUUCCUGGUGAUCCUCUGCCAUACUAAUUUUACAUUGUUCUUACAUGCAAGCAUUUGUAAAUUAAUUUACCAUUAAAGGACGGCCCAAGGUAUAUUCAUCUUAAAUGGGUGGUUGUAGUUUUGUAUAUUUUAUUUUUAUUUUAGUUUUGUAAUAUUUUUAAGAACAAAUAAAAUAAUUAUUCUGAA
Molecule: long non-coding RNA, 2151 nt
Filed under: Diabrotica virgifera virgifera (western corn rootworm)
Lineage: Eukaryota; Metazoa; Arthropoda; Insecta; Coleoptera; Chrysomelidae
Description: uncharacterized LOC126884276
Source: RNAcentral